This 435-nucleotide ribosomal RNA is filed under the name uncultured Barnesiella sp. Its description in RNAcentral is "bacterial SSU rRNA". It matches the Rfam family "Bacterial small subunit ribosomal RNA", at positions 958 to 1393 of the family's 1533-position model. The record is from RNAcentral. Lineage: Bacteria; Pseudomonadati; Bacteroidota; Bacteroidia; Bacteroidales; Barnesiellaceae.
AACGCGAAGAACCUUACCCGGGCUCAAACGACAGCGGACAGCUCCCGAAAGGGGGUCUCCGGCAACGGCCGCUGUCGAGGUGCUGCAUGGUUGUCGUCAGCUCGUGCCGUGAGGUGUCGGCUUAAGUGCCAUAACGAGCGCAACCCCCAUCUUCAGUUGCUAACGGGUAGAGCCGAGGACUUUGGAGAGACUGCCGGCGCAAGCUGCGAGGAAGGCGAGGAUGACGUCAAAUCAGCACGGCCCUUACGUCCGGGGCGACACACGUGUUACAAUGGCGGGGCACAGCGGGAGGCCAGGUGGCGACACCGAGCGGACCCCCCAAACCCGUCUCAGUUCGGAUUGGAGUCUGCAACCCGACUCCAUGAAGCUGGAUUCGCUAGUAAUCGCGCAUCAGCCAUGGCGCGGUGAAUACGUUCCCGGGUCUUGUACACACGC